AGUGAACGCUGGCGGUAUGCCUAACACAUGCAAGUCGAACGACAGCACAGUAAGAUCUUGUUCUUACGGUUGGCGAGUGGCGGACGGGUGAGGCAUAGAUCAGAAACUACUUUUUCUUGGGGAAUAACGGGGGGAAACUUCCGCUAAUAGCUAAUACUUUCUACGGCUGAGAGCAUAAGAGCUUCGCACCUUUGGCGUCUCAAUUAGACGAUGCCGGAUUAGCUAGUUGGCUGGGUAAAGGCCCACCAAGGCGAGGAUCCGUAGCCGGUCUGAGAGGAUGAUCCGCCACACUGGAACUGAGACACGGUCCAGACUCCUACGGGAGGCAGCAGUAGGGAAUAUUCGACAAUGGGCGCAAGCCUGACCCAGCCAUACCGCGUGAGUGAAGAAGGCCUUCGGAUUGUAAAGCCCUGUUGUUGGGAAAGAAAAGCAGCAGGUUAAUAUCCCGCUGUUCUGACGGUACCCAAAGAAUAAGCCCCGGCUAACUUCGUG
Molecule: ribosomal RNA, 492 nt
Filed under: uncultured bacterium
Lineage: Bacteria
Description: partial 16S ribosomal RNA
Rfam family: Bacterial small subunit ribosomal RNA
Source: RNAcentral